GGAGAGAUGGCAGAGCGGUCGAAUGCGACGGUCUUGAAAACCGUUAUCUCGCUAAAACGGGAUCGUGGGUUCGAAUCCCACUCUCUCCUCCA
This 92-nucleotide transfer RNA is filed under the name Candidatus Chromulinivorax destructor. RNAcentral's name for it is "Candidatus Dependentiae bacterium (ex Spumella elongata CCAP 955/1) tRNA-Ser". It matches the Rfam family "tRNA". From Rfam's summary of the family: Transfer RNA (tRNA) molecules are approximately 80 nucleotides in length. Their secondary structure includes four short double-helical elements and three loops (D, anti-codon, and T loops). Further hydrogen bonds mediate the characteristic L-shaped molecular structure. tRNAs have two regions of fundamental functional importance: the anti-codon, which is responsible for specific mRNA codon recognition, and the 3' end, to which the tRNAs corresponding amino acid is attached (by aminoacyl-tRNA synthetases). tRNAs cope with the degeneracy of the genetic code in two manners: having more than one tRNA (with a specific anti-codon) for a particular amino acid; and 'wobble' base-pairing, i.e. permitting non-standard base-pairing at the 3rd anti-codon position. The record is from RNAcentral. Lineage: Bacteria; Candidatus Babeliae; Candidatus Babeliales; Candidatus Chromulinivoracaceae. RNAcentral also lists the same sequence under 1 other name.